GAUGAAGAACGUAGCGAAAUGCGAUAAGUAAUGUGAAUUGCAGAAUUCAGUGAAUCAUCGAAUCUUUGAACGCACCUUGCACCCUUUGGCAUUCCGAAGGGUAUGCUCGUUUGAGUGUCAUUGUACUCUCACACUCUCCGAUCCUAUGGAUUCGGGGAGCGGUGGACUUGGGUGUUGCUGCCUUUCCUUGUGGCUCACCUCAAAUGUGUCAGUGCACCUCUUGGUUGGACAUAGUACGGCGUGAUAAGUGUCUUCGCCGGCACCUCGCAAGAGGGUGGCCGAUCGGGAGCUCUGUGCUUUCCAACUGUCUUCAGACAACAACUGACAACUUGACCUCAAAUCGAGUAGGACCACCCGCUGAACUUAAGCAUAUCAAUAAGCGGAGGA
This 387-nucleotide unclassified non-coding RNA is filed under the name soil metagenome. RNAcentral describes it as "partial contains 5.8S ribosomal RNA, internal transcribed spacer 2, and large subunit ribosomal RNA". The stretch from base 1 to 120 matches the Rfam family "5.8S ribosomal RNA", at positions 35 to 154 of the family's 154-position model. The record is from RNAcentral.